AACCAAUACCCGCACCUUUUCCCACUCCUUUCCGCAACCCCCCACAUCCUCAAAAUUCUAUUGCACUUCACCCCACAGAAAAAUUCCCAGAUCCCAUCUUCUCAACUCUCUCACUCUCUCCUUCACAACAUUCCCAGUUCUCUCAGCACCAAUCACAUGGGUGUGAGCAACAAAAUCACAGCGCUGCUCAACUUCAUUGCCUUCCUCAGCUCAAUCGCCAUAAUUGGUGCUGGCAUCUGGCUUUCCUCCAAGGCAGACAACCAGUGCACCCGCUACUUCAGAUGGCCAGUCCUCAUCCUGGGCACUCUGCUUUUGCUAGUCUCUCUCUGUGGCUUCAUUGGCGCUUUCUGGAACAAGAAAAGGUUCUUGGUCUUCUACCUCUUCUGCAUGGCCCUGCUCAUAGUCCUCAUCCUCGUACUCCUCGUGUUCGCCUUUGUGGUGACAAGGCCUGAUGGGAGCUACUCUGUGCCUGGGAGAGGGUAUAAAGAGUACAGGCUUGGUGGGUUCUCUUCUUGGUUGAGGGACCAUGUGACGAAUUCUGGGAAUUGGGGAAACAUCAGGAGGUGCAUUGCCGAGUCUGAUGUUUGUGUGAAGUUGGAUCAGGAGUAUGUGACUGCUGAUCAGUUCUUUGCCGCUCAUAUAUCCCCAAUUCAGUCAGGGUGUUGCAAGCCACCAACGGCGUGCGGCUACACGUACACGAACCCGACAAUGUGGCUGAACCCGGUGAACCCCAAUGCAGACCCGGAUUGCUACCUGUGGAGCGACGUCCAGACCCAACUCUGCUACAACUGCAACUCGUGCAAGGCUGGUCUCUUGGGCAACCUGAGGAGUGAAUGGAGGAGGGCCAACGUUAUCCUGAUCGUGGCCUCGGUUGUCCUCAUCUGGGUUUACCUCAUCGCCUGCUGCGCCCUCCGGAACGCACAGACCGAGGAGCUCUUCCGCCGCUACAAGGAGGGUUGGGUCUGAUCUACUACGCCUGCUUCCAAUCACAACACCCCAGUUUACUUCUCUUUCUUUGUUUUUAAUUUCUCCACUUUUCUCCACUUUGAGGAAAGCCUAGUUGUUUAUGGAGUGUUCUGUUGUAUAGUCUGGUUCCUUUUCUCUCUUGGAAGUAUAGAAGCCAGAGCAGAAAAUAAGCCAAGGGAUUGAUUUCUACCAAGUCUGAAUUUUGUCCUGAAUAAUGUAAAGCAAAGAAAUAAAGUGGCAUGCCAAUUGUGCAAGCUCUUAGUUUACUAGC
Molecule: RNA transcript, 1237 nt
Organism: Rhodamnia argentea
Lineage: Eukaryota; Viridiplantae; Streptophyta; Magnoliopsida; Myrtales; Myrtaceae
Gene name: tetraspanin-2-like
Exons: 3
Source: RefSeq, a predicted model, not a curated record